This is a non-coding RNA of Ictidomys tridecemlineatus (thirteen-lined ground squirrel), 780 nucleotides long. The record is from RefSeq and is a predicted model, not a curated record. NCBI's taxonomy places the organism in Eukaryota, Metazoa, Chordata, Mammalia, Rodentia, Sciuridae.
UGCAGGAAGGCAGCCGGAAGACGAGUGAACCGAUUCAUAAAGACCAGAUACCAGAGUGUGAUGGAGCCUGAGACAACACGCCGAGUGGGUGGCUGUGAAGGUAGUGAGCAAGGAGGGCUCUGGAAGGAACCGAGACUCACGGCGAAAGAGGGUAGUGUAGGAAAGGAAGGGGGCCUGGGGAAGGGGCUUUUCAGAAGAUUAGCAGCAGGUGCAAAGGCCCCGAGGUAGGGUGGAGCUCAGGGUGCUGGAGGUCUAGGAAGGAGGCCCAUGUGGCUGGAGUUGAGUGAGUGAGGGGGACACAGGGAGGAGGUGAGGGGGGCAGGGCAUGCAAGGAACAGGGGCCAGAAGGGAGAUUUGGAUCAUUUCACCCAACAUUUUAUAAUGAAAAAAUUCAGCCCUGCAGAGUAGCUGAAAGACUACUCUGAAUGCCGUGAACCCACCGUUGGAUCUGCCCUUCACAUUUUGUUCUGUCUGCUUCAUCGCACGCCUGCCCGUCCGUCCCAAUGACCCAUCCAUCAGUUCAUCUCAUUUUCCUGGAUGCAUUUCAAAGUAAAAUUUGCUGGAGGGAAUGCAUCUCAAGUUUACAGUGGCUGAGUCUGGACCAAUCUACGCACCUAGGUGACCCAAUCUCCUCCUACCCACAUUCUUUCCAGAAAGUUCUCAUGUGUCCCUUCCUCCACCUCUGCUGCCCAAAGUUAACUUCUAUCCCAUACUUUUAAUAUCGGUCAUCACAGAUUAGUUUUGUCACUUCUAGAACGUCGGAUAAAUGGCUGCACGCGC